Molecule: ribosomal RNA, 427 nt
Filed under: uncultured prokaryote
Description: bacterial SSU rRNA
Rfam family: Bacterial small subunit ribosomal RNA
Source: RNAcentral
UGGGGAAUUUUGCGCAAUGGGCGAAAGCCUGACGCAGCAACGCCGCGUGGGUGAUGAAGGUCUUCGGAUCGUAAAACCCUGUCGUCAGGGACGAAGGUCGGGGAGUGAACAGCUCUUUGACUUGACGGUACCUGGAGAGGAAGCCCCGGCUAACUCUGUGCCAGCAGCCGCGGUAAUACAGAGGGGGCAAGCGUUAUUCGGAAGUAUUGGGCGUAACGGGCGCGUAGGCGGUUUGUUAAGUGGGAUGUGCAAUCCCCGGGCUUAACCUGGGAACUGCAUCUCAGACUGGCAGGCUAGAGUGCUGGAGAGGGUGGUGGAAUUCCACGUGUAGCGGUGAAAUGCGUAGAGAUGUGGAGGAACACCAGUGGCGAAGGCGGCCACCUGGACAGUAACUGACGCUGAGGCGCGAAAGUGUGGGUAGCAAACA